RNAcentral lists this ribosomal RNA (207 nucleotides) under uncultured bacterium. Its description in RNAcentral is "partial 16S ribosomal RNA". It matches the Rfam family "Bacterial small subunit ribosomal RNA", at positions 568 to 774 of the family's 1533-position model. The record is from RNAcentral.
CGCGUAGGCGGCCUUCUAAGUCGAACGUGAAAUCCCCGGGCUCAACCCGGGAACUGCGUCCGAGACUGAAAGGCUUGAAUCCGGGAGAGGGAUGUGGAAUUCCAGGUGUAGCGGUGAAAUGCGUAGAUAUCUGGAGGAACAUCGGUGGCGAAGGCGGCAUCCUGGACCGGUAUUGACGCUGAGGCGCGAAAGCCAGGGGAGCAAACG